AGAGUGAACGCUGGCGGCAGGCCUAACACAUGCAAGUCGAACGGCAGCACAGAGGAGCUUGCUCCUUGGGUGGCGAGUGGCGGACGGGUGAGGAAAACGUCGGAAUCUGCCUAUUUGUGGGGGAUAACGUAGGGAAACUUACGCUAAUACCGCAUACGACCUACGGGUGAAAGCGGAGGACCUUCGGGCUUCGCGCAGAUAGAUGAGCCGACGUCGGAUUAGCUAGUUGCGGGUAAAGCCACCAAGCGACGAUCCGUAGCUGGUCUGAGAGGAUGAUCAGCCACACUGGAACUGAGACACGGUCCAGACUCCUACGGGAGGCAGCAGUGGGAAUAUUGGACAAUGGGCGCAAGCCUGAUCCAGCCAUGCCGCGUGUGUGAAGAAGGCCUUGGUGUAAGCACUUUGUACGAAAGAAAGACACUAGGUUAACUACCCGUGUGUCAUGACGGUAACGUAAGAA
This 460-nucleotide ribosomal RNA is filed under the name uncultured soil bacterium. RNAcentral's name for it is "bacterial SSU rRNA". It matches the Rfam family "Bacterial small subunit ribosomal RNA", at positions 26 to 486 of the family's 1533-position model. The record is from RNAcentral.